GGUAGCUCAGCUGGUUAGAGCAUGGUGCUAAUAAUGCCAAGGUUGCUGGUUCAAUCCCCAUAUGAGACA
RNAcentral lists this transfer RNA (69 nucleotides) under Podarcis lilfordi (Lilford's wall lizard). Its description in RNAcentral is "tRNA.Ile". Lineage: Eukaryota; Metazoa; Chordata; Lepidosauria; Squamata; Lacertidae. The record is from RNAcentral.